Molecule: ribosomal RNA, 466 nt
Filed under: uncultured bacterium
Lineage: Bacteria
Description: partial 16S ribosomal RNA
Rfam family: Bacterial small subunit ribosomal RNA
Source: RNAcentral
GAUGAACGCUGGCGGCGUGCUUAACACAUGCAAGUCGAACGGAAAGGCCACAGCUUGCUGUGGUACUCGAGUGGCGAACGGGUGAGUAACACGUGGGUGAUCUGCCCUGUACUUCGGGAUAAGCUUGGGAAACUGGGUCUAAUACCGGAUAGGAAUCGCAUGUGGGUGUGUGGUUGGAAAGCUUUUGCGGUAUGGGAUGAGCUCGCGGCCUAUCAGCUUGUUGGUGGGGUAAUGGCCUACCAAGGCGUCGACGGGUAGCCGGCCUGAGAGGGUGUACGGCCACAUUGGGACUGAGAUACGGCCCAGACUCCUACGGGAGGCAGCAGUGGGGAAUAUUGCACAAUGGGCGCAAGCCUGAUGCAGCGACGCCGCGUGGGGGAUGACGGCCUUCGGGUUGUAAACUCCUUUCGUCAGGGACGAAGCGAAAGUGACGGUACCUGGAUAAGAAGCACCGGCUAACUACGUG